AGCCUUCUGAAUACGUGCCAAGACUUCGUUAGACACCAGACCAUCAGUACUGAUGAGACUCCCAAUAGGAGCGAAACA
RNAcentral lists this microRNA precursor (78 nucleotides) under Schistosoma mattheei. Its description in RNAcentral is "mir-3492 microRNA precursor family". It matches the Rfam family "mir-3492 microRNA precursor family". Lineage: Eukaryota; Metazoa; Platyhelminthes; Trematoda; Strigeidida; Schistosomatidae. The record is from Rfam by way of RNAcentral.